AUGAACGCUAGCUACAGGCUAACACACGCAAGUCGAGGGGCAGCAUGAACUUAGCUUGCUAAGUUUGAUGGCGACCGGCGCACGGGUGAGUAACACGUAUCCAACCUGCCGAUGACUCGGGGAUAGCCUUUCGAAAGAAAGAUUGAUACCCGAUGGCAUAAUUCUUCCGCAUGGUAGAACUAUUAAAGAAUUUCGGUCAUCGAUGGGGAUGCGUUCCAUUAGGUUGUUGGCGGGGUAACGGCCCACCAAGCCUUCGAUGGAUAGGGGUUCUGAGAGGAAGGUCCCCCACAUUGGAACUGAGACACGGUCCAAACUCCUACGGGAGGCAGCAGUGAGGAAUAUUGGUCAAUGGACGAGAGUCUGAACCAGCCAAGUAGCGUGAAGGGUGACUGCCCUAUGGGUUGUAAACUUCUUUUAUACGGGAAUAAAGUGAGGCACGUGUGCCUUUUUGUAUGUACCGUAUGAAUAAGGAUCGGCUAACUCCGUGCCAGCAGCCGCGGUAAUACGGAGGAUCCGAGCGUUAUCCGGAUUUAUUGGGUUUAAAGGGAGCGUAGGCGGACGCUUAAGUCAGUUGUGAAAGUUUGCGGCUCAACCGUAAAAUUGCAGUUGAUACUGGGUGUCCUGAGUACAGUAGAGGCAGGCGGAAUUCGUGGUGUAGCGGUGAAAUGCUUAGAUAUCACGAAGAACUCCGAUUGCGAAGGCA
This 703-nucleotide ribosomal RNA is filed under the name uncultured Bacteroidales bacterium. RNAcentral describes it as "bacterial SSU rRNA". It matches the Rfam family "Bacterial small subunit ribosomal RNA", at positions 29 to 723 of the family's 1533-position model. Lineage: Bacteria; Pseudomonadati; Bacteroidota; Bacteroidia; Bacteroidales. The record is from RNAcentral.